Molecule: ribosomal RNA, 1346 nt
Filed under: uncultured bacterium
Lineage: Bacteria
Description: bacterial SSU rRNA
Rfam family: Bacterial small subunit ribosomal RNA
Source: RNAcentral
GACGAACGCUGGCGGCGUGCUUAACACAUGCAAGUCGAACGGAAAGGCCCUGCUUUUGUGGGGUGCUCGAGUGGCGAACGGGUGAGUAACACGUGAGUAACCUGCCCUUGACUUUGGGAUAACUUCAGGAAACUGGGGCUAAUACCGGAUAGGAGCUCCUGCUGCAUGGUGGGGGUUGGAAAGUUUCGGCGGUUGGGGAUGGACUCGCGGCUUAUCAGCUUGUUGGUGGGGUAGUGGCUUACCAAGGCUUUGACGGGUAGCCGGCCUGAGAGGGUGACCGGCCACAUUGGGACUGAGAUACGGCCCAGACUCCUACGGGAGGCAGCAGUGGGGAAUAUUGCACAAUGGGCGGAAGCCUGAUGCAGCAACGCCGCGUGCGGGAUGACGGCCUUCGGGUUGUAAACCGCUUUCGCCUGUGACGAAGCGUGAGUGACGGUAAUGGGUAAAGAAGCACCGGCUAACUACGUGCCAGCAGCCGCGGUGAUACGUAAGGUGCGAGCGUUGUCCGGAUUUAUUGGGCGUAAAGGGCUCGUAGGUGGUUGAUCGCGUCGGAAGUGUAAUCUUGGGGCUUAACCCUGAGCGUGCUUUCGAUACGGGUUGACUUGAGGAAGGUAGGGGAGAAUGGAAUUCCUGGUGGAGCGGUGGAAUGCGCAGAUAUCAGGAGGAACACCAGUGGCGAAGGCGGUUCUCUGGGCCUUUCCUGACGCUGAGGAGCGAAAGCGUGGGGAGCGAACAGGCUUAGAUACCCUGGUAGUCCACGCUGUAAACGGUGGGUACUAGGUGUGGGGUCCAUUCCACGGGUUCCGUGCCGUAGCUAACGCUUUAAGUACCCCGCCUGGGGAGUACGGCCGCAAGGCUAAAACUCAAAGGAAUUGACGGGGCCCCGCACAAGCGGCGGAGCAUGCGGAUUAAUUCGAUGCAACGCGUAGAACCUUACCUGGGUUUGGCAUGGAUCGGGAGCGCUCAGAGAUGGGUGUGCCUCUUUUGGGGUCGGUUCACAGGUGGUGCAUGGCUGUCGUCAGCUCGUGUCGUGAGAUGUUGGGUUAAGUCCCGCAACGAGCGCAACCCUUGUUCACUGUUGCCAGCACGUUAUGGUGGGGACUCAGUGGAGACCGCCGGGGUCAACUCGGAGGAAGGUGGGGAUGACGUCAAGUCAUCAUGCCCCUUAUGUCCAGGGCUUCACGCAUGCUACAAUGGCUGGUACAGAGAGUGGCGAGCCUGUGAGGGUGAGCGAAUCUCGGAAAGCCGGUCUCAGUUCGGAUUGGGGUCUGCAACUCGACCUCAUGAAGUCGGAGUCGCUAGUAAUCGCAGAUCAGCAACGCUGCGGUGAAUACGUUCCCGGGGCU